CCCGCGCCGCGAGGUCCUAAGCAGCCCGGACUGUUGCGCGGCGCUGGCGGGCGGGGACACCGCCGGGGAGUGGAUACUCCGAGGCUCAACCUGGGGCCUCUGCCCGCCCUCCGCUGGGUGCAGAGGCGGACAGCGGGCACUGGCAACCCCCGGGCCCCUGGAGAGCCCCGCGGCGGCCCAAGACCCGCUCCCAAGACACCUGGCCCCCUCCGGACUUGGUUGGUCCCCGGAGCCAGCUGCGCGCGUCCUCUCUGGCCUCCUUGUCGGCGCUGGAGUGGGUCCACGUCUGCCUUGCGGAGCGCGGUGGUUCCACGCUUCUGAGCGCCCACGCUGCGCAGACCUGGCUGCUCUGCGAGGCGACGGCAGCGCACUGAAGACUGUGGUGUUUCCCAAGCCCUCCCUGCUCCCGGGUCUCCAGGGCGCAGCAGGGGAGGGUUUUGUCCCGGUGACCAAAGCUCUGCAGGUCGAACCUUAUGUGCUCUGGAAAGGCCCUGCAUUUUCAGAUUCACGCAGGGCCCUCUGCAGACUGUUGGCAGAAACAAGGUAGCCACCAAACACAUGCAUAAGCUGGACUUUUCCCAGAAUGCUGCAGCAGAACUACCCUCCAGAUAGACACCAGCCUGCAGGCCACAGUGCUACGUGAGUCUUGCAAAGAGGAGAUCUUUACGGCAAGGCUGAGAGCACUGCCUGCAUGCUUUACCAGAGCCCAGCCUCCAGCCUCCAUGGAAAAUGUGUUUUGGAAUCAACACUCUUUCCAAAGGCUCCACACUGCUCUCUGGUGGCAUUGGCCUGGGCGCCCAGGCACCCCUUUAGAACCCACCUGUUCCCCCCACCCACCCUAGCGGGAGGAGGAGAGAGUUACACUGACAGAUACCGGCAGCUCUGCAACCCGGGAACAAGGCAGACAACAUACAACUCGACAGAGUCAAAGAAGGUGGCAUCCAUUGUGCCUGGAUGGUAACUACUGCCCUGCGGGCUGCUGGGUGGGUGAAACACACAGGGAAGAAGCACAAAUACACACACAGAUGUGGCUCAGGGACA
Molecule: long non-coding RNA, 1041 nt
Filed under: Pongo abelii (Sumatran orangutan)
Lineage: Eukaryota; Metazoa; Chordata; Mammalia; Primates; Hominidae
Description: lincRNA
Source: RNAcentral